GCCUGGAUAGCUCAGUUGGUUAGGGUGUGGGGCUGAUAAUGCCAUGGUUGCAGGUUCGAUUCCCAUAUGGGACA
RNAcentral lists this transfer RNA (74 nucleotides) under Podarcis lilfordi (Lilford's wall lizard). RNAcentral's name for it is "tRNA.Ile". Lineage: Eukaryota; Metazoa; Chordata; Lepidosauria; Squamata; Lacertidae. The record is from RNAcentral.